GAUGAACGCUGGCGGCGUGCCUAAUACAUGCAAGUCGAGCGAACAGAUGAGGAGCUUGCUCCUCUGACGUUAGCGGCGGACGGGUGAGUAACACGUGGAUAACUUACCUAUAAGACUGGGAUAACUUCGGGAAACCGGAGCUAAUACCGGAUAAUAUAUUGAACCGCAUGGUUCAAUAGUGAAAGACGGCUUUGCUGUCACUUAUAGAUGGAUCUGCGCCGCAUUAGCUAGUUGGUAAGGUAACGGCUUACCAAGGCAACGAUGCGUAGCCGACCCGAGAGGGUGGUCGGCCACACUGGAACGGAGACACGGUCAAGACUCCUACGAGAUGCAGCAGUCGGGAAUCUUCCGCAAUAGGCGAAAGCCUGACGGAGCAGGGCCACGUGAGAGAUAAAGGUCUUCGGAUCGUAAUACUCUGUUAUUGGUGAAGAACAAAUGUGUAAGUAACUAUACACGUCUUGACGGUACCAAGUCAAAAAGCCACGGCUAACUACGUG
This 497-nucleotide ribosomal RNA is filed under the name uncultured bacterium. RNAcentral's name for it is "partial 16S ribosomal RNA". It matches the Rfam family "Bacterial small subunit ribosomal RNA", at positions 28 to 507 of the family's 1533-position model. The record is from RNAcentral.